Molecule: non-coding RNA, 25 nt
Filed under: Cricetulus griseus (Chinese hamster)
Lineage: Eukaryota; Metazoa; Chordata; Mammalia; Rodentia; Cricetidae
Source: RNAcentral
ACACAUGUAAGCAGUGGACCGAAUG